RNAcentral lists this ribosomal RNA (504 nucleotides) under uncultured bacterium. RNAcentral's name for it is "partial 16S ribosomal RNA". It matches the Rfam family "Bacterial small subunit ribosomal RNA", at positions 29 to 523 of the family's 1533-position model. The record is from RNAcentral.
AUUGAACGCUGGCGGCAGGCCUAACACAUGCAAGUCGAGCGGUAGCACAGAGAGCUUGCUCUCGGGUGACGAGCGGCGGACGGGUGAGUAAUGUCUGGGAAACUGCCAGAUGGAGGGGGAUAACUACUGGAAACGGUAGCUAAUACCGCAUAAUGUCGCAAGACCAAAGUGGGGGGCCUUCGGGCCUCAUGCCAUCAGAUGUGCCCAGAUGGGAUUAGCUAGUAGGUGGGGUAACGGCUCACCUAGGCGACGAUCCCUAGCUGGUCUGGGAGGAAGACCAGCCACACUGGAGCGGAGACACGGUCCAGACUCCUACGGGAGGCAGCAGUGGGGAAUAUUGCACAAUGGGCGCAAGCCUGAUGCAGCCAUGCCGCAUGUGUGAAGAAGGCCUUCGGGUUGUAAAGCACUUUCAGCGAGGAGGAAGGCGGUGAGGUUAAUAACCUCAUCGAUUGACGUUACCCGCAGAAGAAGCACCGGCUAACUCCGUGCCAGCCGCCGCCGUAA